CCUGUGCAGAUGGUCUGAAGUAACGCUUGGGUUGCUUCUGACGUUAUAAUUCAUCGUAUAGCUGCAGUAACCGUGGUCCUUGCAACCUCAUAAAAAUGUUGCCAGCAUUGUUUUGACAGUGCCACUUAAUUCUUGGAAGGCCUCUUUGAUUUCUUCCCUGAGGUUCUUUGGACUUCCCAGAUUCCAGCAGUAACUCUCUCAGCUCCUGCCCUGCACAGCUUUGAAGUGCUAGAGGCACAUAAAUAGAGCAGAGAGAGCGAGUGAACAUGAAGGGGCCUCAUAGCUGUCUUAAAAGAUGCAAAGUGACUUCCAUGGAGCAAUGAUCUAAGAUCCAAUGAGAAUGGGCACAUGGCGAUACGGUUAGAUACCAAUGACCAGAAACAGGUGAGGUCAUUGAACUCUUAAGUGCGAGAUGAAACAAGUCUUCUGGGGUUCCAAGUAGAUGGAGUCUCGUUCUGUUGCUAGGCUGGAGUGCGUGAUCUUGGCUCACUGUGAUCUCUGCCUCCCCGUUUCAAGCGAUUCUCCUGCUUCAGCCUCCUGAGUAUCUGGAUUAUAGCAUUAGCCUUUUUCUCCAGCACCAAGAGUGUGCAGGGCAAAAGCCUGUGAAAGAGAGGAAGCAGUGUAAGGUACUGUGGGAAGUGUUCUAAGUCUGGGGCUCAUGAUCCUCUAAAAUACAUGGAUCUUCAAGUCUACAGACAAGCAAAAAGAAGCAACGACAACAAAAAUAAAAGUUUUUAGGAUCCUGCUGAAUCAAGAUGCUAAAACGAGGACAUAGGAGGAAGAUGUGACAUAUGAACCAGAAAGCAGGCCCUCUCCAGACACUGGAUCUGCGGGCACCUUGAUCUUGGACUUCUCAGCCUCCAGGAUGAUGGAGUCUCUCUCUGUCGUUCAAGGUGGAGUGCAGUGGUGCAAUCUCAGCUCACUGAAAUCUCUGAUUCCAGGGUUCCAAUGAUCCUCCUGCCUCAGCCUCCUGAGUAGUUGGGAUUACAGAGUACUGAGCUGUCUCUGAAGAAUUCAGAUUAUUGAAUGUAGCCACGCUUUUCUGAUUUCCUUUGUCAAUUCAAUUCAGGAGCUGUGAUGCAACGCGAUGUGUCAAUAUACAGCAGAAACACAGAUGAAAGAUGGGUGCAACCCAGAACAGAGAGUAAAGAAUGACCAGGCAACACUCUUUGAAAAUUGGAGACCAUUUGCAGCUGCUCUGUGUUGAGGAAAGUGAAUAAUAGGGUGCCCUCAAGGAAUUUCAAAGACCCCUGCAGAAGGAGGACAGAGAACAAUGUUGAUCCAAACUACAAAGGGUGGAUCACUUCUAGAGGAUCCUAGAAGAGCUCACUGCCAGACUACAGCUUCUCCCAUGAUUGUUUGGGUAGCCAAUUCAUCUGCUUAUGUCAGAUGCUUACAGAAUUCUUGUGGUUUACUUUACUCUUCACCAGAAAAAGAUGUGGAUGCCUUGAAAUUAGUAUCUGCACUGAUGCCAUCCUCAGUGAGAACACAAAGCAAUAGAGGCACAGUGAGAUUAAGUAACUUGCCCAAUGUGACACAGCAAAAAGUGGCAGAGACACAAUUUUAAUCUGGGUAGAAGAGGCAGUAGAUAAUGCAUAUUCCAAGUUCUGAGAAAGGUUUGAGUCCUAGGUUAGUGGCAUGAAAGCACAGCCCUGGGAGCCAUGGAGCAGCCAGUGCUCUGCCCACAUGUAACCCUUUGGGACCUCCACUUCAAUUCCCCCAAAGAGGAAAGAAAAGGAAAGAAGAACAAAGAUGUCUGAAGCACCAACAUCAGGCACUCGCCCAGCUGCCAUGGCCCCCCAAGUUGAAGAUCAUAUAACCUCUGCCUGCCCAAAUGAACCAAGCAUACAACCACAGGGGGAACCUAACUGUUCCAGUGGAAGAGCGGGGACCAAUUUAAGAGGUGGACACCAUGUGGCAGAAUCCAGGAUCCGAUCAUAUUGAGACCUGGGGUCACCCCGUGGCAGGAUCCAGUUGGAUCAUGCCUCCUGGCAUCACCUAUUGCAAGAUCCAAUCAGGAAAAGCACAGUACAGGGGACUUUGGAAGCAUAUGGCAGACCUAUCUAAUCCAGUGGAAAGAGACUUGAAAAAUCCUGGAAAGGGAGAUACAAACAGAAUCUUAAAAGUAUGAGCAUGAUGGCUCAAGCCUGUAAUCCCAGCACUUUGGGAGGCUGAGGUGGGCAGAUCACCUGAGGUUGGGAGUUCGAGACCAGUCUGACCAACAUGGAGAAACCCCAUCUCUACUAAAAAUACAAAAUUAGCUGACUGUGGUGGUGCAUGUCUGUAACCUCAACUACUCGGGAGGCUGAGGCCUGCUGAACACCCACGUCCAAGCCCGAACACAAAGCCACUGACCAGGACACAGCAGAGUCACCAGCCACCUUCACUGACUUUUAAAUAACAAAAGAAGUUUUGUUCUUCAUCCUCACUGACAAACUUGCAGAAGAAGGUGGGCAUCUGAUUGACAGUGGGUGAAACUGACUUCAGAGUGAUCAGACCUGCUUGAGUUGGGGCGAGAGUAGGUGAUGAGAUCAGUGAGGACCCAUGGGAAGAUGAUGCUGAAGACAGGACUUGGAGGGUGAGUACUGGUAGCUGACUUUAUUGAGCCCCUACUGUGAAUUAGGGACUACUCUAAGAGUUUCAUAUGUGUUAACCCAUUCAAUAAGAAAGGCACUACUGUCGUCAUAAUAACAAAAACCCAGGAAACUAGUAACUUGUCCAAAAUUACACUGUUACUAUGCAACUGAGCUAGGAUGUGAACACAAGUAUCUGGCUUCCGAGUCUGUUCUUUUUUUCAUCACUAUGCCGUUCUGGUGAAAUAAAGGGCUUCUUGCUCAACAAAUGUGGAGAGUGUCACAGCCACAGACUAGCAAGGUGCACAUGAACAUGAAUGGCCAGAUGUGGGGCAAGAGUUCCGGGUGGCAGGACAUGAAACCGGAGAGGGACACUGUGCAAGGUCUCUGCUAGCAGGGGCCAUUCGGAUUUUAAUUUAUCAACUGAGAAAUACCAGAAGGCUUUGAAGCAAUGAAUGGAAGAAUCAGUUUCACAUUUUAGAAAGAUAACUUUCCAAAAUAGAGGAUGCACUGGUAGAAGGUGAAGCUGGAGGCAGAGAAACCAAUUAGGAGAUUCUUGCAGUGGUCUGUACUGUGCACAGGAGGUGUGGACUUGUGUCUGCCUAGAUCAUAUUCCAGUAGUAGAUUGAGUACAUAGGGGUCUUGCAGGGAAUGGGUUGUAUUUGAAAGAUAUAUUUAAAUGGGUAAGAAGGUAUGUGGAUUUGUUAGCACUUGAUUCCAAAAUUCUCCUUCCAGAUGUCAGUGCAAUAAAGCAAUUAAUUGUAAGGCAAGAUGAUCCGAUCAUUGAAAGUGAUUGUUAUGGGGUUUCAUCCCCGUAAACUGUAAACCCUAUAAUCUUUCCUAAAUGUAACUACAAAUCUUCUUUGCUUUUCAAUAAAUAUUUAAUAACAGGGGAUUGCAGAGGAAGGCGAUAUUUCAAAAAUCUUAAUUGCUCUAAAGAAACCAUCUGCAGACUUAGGUAUUAACACACCUAAUUGCUACUAAAACACAUUUAUCAACAAAGAUGAUCAACAGAGAUGCAAGCAAUGAGUUUUCUAAUCUCCGGGUGGGUAGGGACAGAAGAUUGACAGUUUUACUGUUUCUAAUUCAGUUUUUUCAUUGCUCAGACUUUUUCAGGUCCAAUUUAUCUUUAUCUUAGGAUAUGUGAGACAGUCCAAUCCUUCGUUUCAUUAGUAGAGUGUAGAAUUUUUCACUUUUUCCUAUAUGUUAUUUUUAGACAAUCCACUCUUCCCUCUUUCAUAUGCAUUCAGAGCUCACUUUUAAAGUCAUAAGUACCUAGUGAGAUCGUGUCCUCAAGCACUCUUUUGUUCUACUCAUUAAUUAAUAUUGGCUUGGGCACUGUUCAAAUCCCUCAGAUAACAGUGAACCAAAGAGAGGAAGUAACUGCCUUCAUCAGACUUAGACUGCAGUCGAGACUAGAGACUUCAAAGAAAUUCACAUGUAAAACUUUUGGAGCCAGAUUACUGAGACAGACUAUGUUAAACAUUUUGGGGUUUAUUCUAAGGAAAAUGAGUAUAAAAUGAGAAAAAAAAUCACUAAAACUAAGAUUAUUGUUCCUUGAUUUUUCUCUUGAUUUUCACUCAACUAAUAACACAGAGUAAAUGGUCUGGAAUUGGCAAGGGUAUUAGAGGACAAAUUUGGACAGAAAGUCAAAGGACUCCUAUUCUUGCCUGGCCUUUCCAUCAACAGUUUUAAUUAAUUUAUUUAAAAUUCAAUAUCAUUAUUAUAUUUGCAAAUAAAUAUCAUUGGCAUAACUUUCCCACAUUCCCUUCUAGACAAGAUACAACAGAAAAACUUAAAUUUCCGUAAUACAUGAAAUGGCAACUAAUAUGUUCACUGCAACAAUCAAUUUUUUUUCCAGAGAAACUAUCAUGACUCAAAGUUAAUCUGUUCCAAGGAAAGGAACUGAAAUUGGUUGCUGACAUGCAAUCAUUCAUUUCUUAUUUUACCAACAGUAAUUAAAUUGCCCAGAACUGUUGUCAUUUAACAGCCUAUUAAUUGACUAAUGUGCAUUACUUGUAUUCAGAGUAUAGGUAAAAUCCAGGGAUUAAGCAAGAAGAAAGCAAGGUUUGCAAACUCUGCCUGUCAUCCUGAAAGCAGUAAAUUUGCCUCAUAUUGCAAGAUCAUUUAUAAAUGCACAAGUAGCUUAUAUUUCAGAAGAGGGAAACAUGUUAGUCUGAAAAUACAGGAGCAGCGAGGGUCCUUCAGCCUUCAGGGGAGCUAUGGAAGUUAUUUUUUGAAACCUUUCUCCUGAGCAGACGGACCCACUACCCUUUCUCGUCAACAAGAUGCUUUCUUCUGCAGUCACUUUUCUGUCUGCAUGAAAGGUCUCACUGCCAAUUCUUCAGGUUGCUUUUAAGAAAUGUUAUUUAUAUUCUUAGUUGGUAUUAUUACUAUUUUUUUCUAACAGUCAUGCAGAAUAUUUCCACAUAUGCAUGUUUUAUUUUGGUUUCCAGUUUUAGAAGUGUAAGCAUGUAUGGUUUAUAGGAACCCUGCAACAUAUUUUGAAAGUCUGGACUGAUUGUUCAUCAAAGCCUGAGGUUUCCUGAAAUCUCUGCAUCUUUGAAUCUCUGGUAUAGUCAUUAGGCCUAGAACACAGAAGAUGUCAAAUGAUGCUUGAUGAAUUGAAUCAGGAUAAGAAAUAAUUUACUAUAAAUAAGGAUGAAAGAAAUGACAAAGGUGACAUUUAUUAGCAUUAUUAAAAGUUGUAGUUCUGGGUUUUCAUAAUCUUAAAUUGCCAGCCAGCCAAAGGCAAGCAUCAAUUUCACUCAUAAAAUUUUCUUCAAAGGAUCUUAUCCCCAAACGACAUUUCUGUCAGAUUACCUCCAGCAUAAUUAGAGUCCUUGUCUCCUUUCUGUAGUCAGAAACGUUUCUCUCUUCUUGGGCUUUGGGCAGAAAUUAAGGCCCUUUAUGAUCACACCACUCUUCCCAGGAAACCUUUUUAAUCUAGGCCCAUUACAGCACAAGGAAGCAUUCCUAUUUCCUCCAGUCUCAGAGCUGUAUUUUCUGCCGACCUUGCUUGACUAACAUCUUCCCAGAAGCAAAUAUUCUGGCUGCUCUAUUCUUCAGUUUACUCUCCGUAAAAUGGAGAUAACAAUGCUGUUCUGACCUAUGGAUGUGUAUGUAUGUAAGUUGGAGAAUUACCUUGGCAGGGAACAGAAGGCAUGAGUGGGGCAGAAGCAGCAAGUUGCCUUCCCCUCCCACAACAGUGUGGGAGCUGUCUUUUUUUUCUCUCUCUCUCUCUCUGUCUAAUAAAUCAUUGUUACACACACACACGCACGCACACACACAAAAGAAGCAAGUUGACAUUGUCCCUUCCAUGUGGGCUCCUUCAUAGCUCGUUUUCUUUUCUUCUCAUCCUCUGUGGCUGACAUUUAGUGGUCUCACUUAUUUCUCCAGUAGAAAUGACCUACAGGAUAUUCUAUGGUUUCUUGUUGCUAAGAAACAAGAUGUUGGCCCCAGUAGAAAGAGGCAACUUGGGUAACUUGGGUGGAGUUGUUGGUGUGAAUGAAUGCAAGAUGAGAUCAUAAAUGUGUCUGUGCCCACAUGGGCAGAUAUGUAACCUUCAGUAAGUUUGUACCUUCAUUUAUGUAUCCAUGAAAUGGCAGGGUUAGAACAGGUGGUCUCUAAGGAAUUCUGCUUUGGUCUAUAAAUUAAAUAAAACUGAUUGCAUUGAUGGAAAACAGAUUCAAUUAAGUUUGUGCAUUUCUCUGAAAUCAAAAGCAGCUCACACCAAACUUUUCUAAAGAGGAAAAAUGUAUAUGCCGCCCUUCUUUCUGGAUUCUCUAAAAAACAUUUAAAUAUUUCUCACUUCCCUCACACCAAAUUAAGCGUGGGAUUAACUUUACCAUGCUCUGUGUCUAUGUAUCCAACCCGUUCACUUUUCUUUUUAAGGCCAAAUUUGUGUGAUAAAAGGUAAAAUUUCUAGUAUCCCUCCAUGCAAGACUGGUAGAAAACAAUGGCGAAAUGGUCCAUUCUGGACCCUCUGAAAUGACAUUGUAACAGACGUCCUCACUAAAUGCCCUAAUGUGUGUAGUUUUCCUGUGACACAUCUCUUGAGUCUCUGCUUUUGUCAUAUUUUUCAUUAGACAAUACUUUUCAAGUAUAGAUCUUCAACCAAUAGAGACCUGCCUAUCUAUAUUCUAUUGUUUAGUUAAUAUAAGAGAACUUUGUUCUGCACUUGUUACUGUACACAUCAGAUGCUGUGUCCAGACAUAUCAUGUGUAUCAUCUCUGCUCAAAGUCCAGAGUAGGAAGGGUCAUUUCUCAAUAUUACCUCAAAAUACCAUGAAUGCUCUAUCAUUAUGUCUCUUCUCUCAGAGGCAUUCUAUUCGAAGCUUUAUUUGUAAUUAUGGAGUGAAAAGCCUCAUUUCAUAGUAAAGAGAUGACUGCUAUCUGAAGAAAAUCAGGAGUCUGGGAAGGGCUAAGGGACACUUUCUAAUGUGUUGGGUAUUAGGCAGCAUAGAUUCUUUCCUUUGCCAAAGGCCAAACAGUAUCCAGCAGAGAAAAGUGUUGCCUGGCACCAUGCAAUCACAUUAAAAGUAAUAAAUAUGAACACAUCCAGCUAGUAUCUGAAUAGUAUUCUCAAAUUUGAGUCCAAAAGACAGCAUAGUGCAUUUUCAUAACAAAUUGCUGAUCUGAGAAUUUCCUAGGUGAAUCCAUCGUGUAUCAUAAGUUGAUGCUUCAACCUGCAGACAGAACAGCCAGACUGGCUGGCUUACAAAUUGCGGCUUUAUUUUCCCUAAAUCCCCAACAUUCAUGAUUUCAUUUCAGUAGAACAGUAAUUUAAACAAUGACUAAAUGUGUAAGAAAAAAUAUAUGGAAGGCUAUGGAACAAUUUAUUAAUAAUGGUAGGACAUUUUCUGCAGUACUUCUAAUCUAUCACUUAGGACCGUAUUGAUUCAGCAUCAGAGUCCUUGGAAACAAGCCUCUUACCAAUAUCUAAGAUCCUGAUGUUGUAAUUGAACUAGAAAAUGUAAGAUUUCCACUGUUCCUGCUGAGAAUUCUUCCCAAUAAAUGUAUGUUUUCCACCGGGGCUAAAACCACUGCUACUUGUGUUUUUAAUUUUUCCUCCUGUUUCUUUUUCAUAUUAUUCAGUUUUCUGUUUUUCUCUCCUUUACCAGAAAAACAGACAUAUUAGGCACUAUUUAUUCCUCUAAGACAACUUGCACUUUAGGGGGCCAUUUGAAUGAUAAACUUUGUUAUAACUUAUAGCCAGAAAAUCACCACUGUGCAGUAUGAAAAAACUGAAAAAUGCAUUAAUGUUUAACCCUACACAGUGGUUGAAUGAAAUCUUAGCAGGACAAGUUUUUACUAUGUCUCCCAUUGUUUUAUAUGUUAUUCUGUAAAAAAGCUUAAGAAAUGCCUCAGUUUGCAGCCUCAUUGAGGAACCAGGACACAUACUUCCAAACUUAAUGAGUUAUAUAGUACAGCAUCAGCAUUACAGCACCAUUUUCUGGGGGAACAAAGACCACUUGACUAGGGUUAUGGUUCUGAUUCCAAUGCUAAGCAGAUGUGUGGCCUUGGGGAAGAUGUGCCAUAUCUCUGAGGAACUGAAAAUGAAGGGACUAGAUGAGGCCAUCUCUAAGGUCCUUCCACUGCUGAGUGGCACACUUUGAUUUUUUUGUCUUCAUGAGCUUAAGAAAAGCACUAAAGGCCGGGCGCGGUGGCUCAAGCCUGUAAUCCCAGCACUUUGGGAGGCCGAGGCUGGUGGAUCACUAGGUCAAGAGAUCAAGACCAUCCUGGUCAACAUGGUGAAACCCCGUCUCUACUAAAAAUACAAAAACUUAGCUGGGCAUGGUGGCGCGUGCCUGUAAUCCCAGCUACUCAGGAGGCUGAGGCAGGAGAAUUGCCUGAACCCAGGAGGCGGAGGUUGCGGUGAGCCGAGAUCGCACCGUUGCACUCCAGUCUAGGUAACAAGAGCAAAACUCCGUCUCAAAAAAAAAGAAAAAAGCACUAAAGAGCUGAGUGAAAAAUCUCACUAGAAGACCCAACACUAGAGUAUUGAGUAUUUUCCAGUGGAAUAGAAUCCUUCUAAUAAAAAGAGUACCUAGGAAAGGUACCAACAUGAGUUACAUAGGAGUGGAAAGGAAGGUGGCCCACUCCUCUGACUAGAUAGUUACAGAGCUAGCUUCUCCUCUUCAGUGUGUUGAGCUCUAUAUGCCUAGGAGUAGUGGAUGCUAUAGUGUGCUAUUCAAAUGCCCCCUCCAAGACAAGGGCACUCAUUCAACAAGGCACUGAGAGUAUUGGCUCUUGUUGUCUCACAGCCAAAUCACCAAAUCGCCCUCUUGGAAUUGCUCUUAGCUGAAGGAGGCUACAUUGAGCGAGUUUACACUCUCUCCCUGGCAUAGUCUACUUCUAUUGGCUCAUGAGUGCAGAGAGGAUACAAAGUUUCCGCUCUGUUGCCUCAAUUUGAGACAAUUCUGAAGUUGCCUCCCGGAUCAGAGGUCCUGGUGGGAUUAUGGGAUCCUCUGUGGUCUCUGCUGCAAUUGCAUGCAGCACAGUUCACUUUCUCUCUGCUCAGUUUUCCUUCCCUCUUCCUCUUUUGAAUGAUGUUCCUGUGAGCACUCUUUAAUAAAUCCCCUACACUCAAAUUUUCAUCCUGGAGUCUGUCUCUGAAUAAUCCACCCAAGGUGCCAGAAGAUGAAAAAGACCCUGUGAGAGCCAGCGGCUCAUCCAAGUUAUACCAGCUGUUGGGAGGCUGAAGUGGGAUAAUCCUCUGAGUCCAGGAGUUUGAGAGUAGCCUGGGCAACACAGCAAGAUCUUGUCUCUAAAAUAAAUUUUUUAAAAUUAACCAGGCAGGGUGGCAUGCACCUGUAUUUCCAGCACACCAUC
Molecule: non-coding RNA, 9406 nt
Organism: Callithrix jacchus (white-tufted-ear marmoset)
Lineage: Eukaryota; Metazoa; Chordata; Mammalia; Primates; Cebidae
Source: RefSeq, a predicted model, not a curated record